UGAAGAAGGCCCGAGGGUUGUAAAGCACUUUCAAUUGUGAGGAAGGUAGUGUAGUUAAUACCUGCAUUGCUUGACGUUAACUUUAGAAGAAGCACCGGCUAACUCUGUGCCAGCAGCCGCGGUAAUACAGAGGGUGCAAGCGUUAUUCGGAAUUACUGGGCGUAAAGCGCGCGUAGGCGGACUAUUAAGUCAGUUGUGAAAGCCCUGGGCUCAACCUAGGAACUGCAUCUGAUACUGGUAGUCUAGAGUUUAGGAGAGGGAAGUGGAAUUCCAGGUGUAGCAGUGAAAUGCGUAGAUAUCUGGAGGAACAUCAGUGGCGAAGGCGACUUCCUGGCCUAAAACUGACGCUGAGGUGCGAAAGCAUGGGUAGCGAACGGGAU
RNAcentral lists this ribosomal RNA (380 nucleotides) under uncultured bacterium. RNAcentral's name for it is "bacterial SSU rRNA". It matches the Rfam family "Bacterial small subunit ribosomal RNA", at positions 406 to 778 of the family's 1533-position model. The record is from RNAcentral.